UACGUAGGGUGCAAGCGUUGUCCGGAAUUAUUGGGCGUAAAGAGCUCGUAGGCGGUCUGUCGCGUCUGCUGUGAAAACUCAGGGCUUAACCCUGAGCUUGCAGUGGGUACGGGCAGACUAGAGUGUGGUAGGGGAGACUGGAAUUCCUGGUGUAGCGGUGGAAUGCGCAGAUAUCAGGAGGAACACCGAUGGCGAAGGCAGGUCUCUUGGGCCAU
RNAcentral lists this ribosomal RNA (215 nucleotides) under uncultured bacterium. RNAcentral describes it as "partial 16S ribosomal RNA". It matches the Rfam family "Bacterial small subunit ribosomal RNA", at positions 524 to 737 of the family's 1533-position model. The record is from RNAcentral.